AUGGACCAGAACUCCUCUGACCUCCAGAGCAAAGAGACAGCAGCUCCCAGCAGCAGGCAAAAUGAAAUGCAAGACUCUCUGAAAGUGACCUUGAGCCUCCUAGAUGCCACCCAAGGUCAGAAGACUAACACGCAAACUCCUUUGCCCAUCAUCCACAUUCGCAAAUUAAGCAACGUGGAACCGUCAACGUCCACACCUAUGUCCCGAAGGGUUAGCAUCCAGGAACCACCAGCAUCUGUCUUUCUCCCUCGCAGGGUUAGUACACUGAGUUCAUCAUCCCCAUCCACCAUUCUCCCUCGAAGGUUAAGUACUCAAGAGACCCUUCUUCAGGGUUCCCAGUCCAAUGUACAAGACAUACAGUCUGUGGCCUACAAUCGAUGGCUCAGUUCCAGAGAGUCUGCUUCCCUUAACCAUAAUCGCCGGCUCAGCAUCCUAAGCGCUCAUACCCUGUCCAGUGCCCAGUCAGAAAUUCGCAGCUCACAAACGGAAACUGAAAGCCACCCCUCCAUACCCCAGUCAUAUAGCCCCAACAGAAAACAAAUGCGGCCCAGUGUGGAUGUCCCCCCGUCCAUAACCCAGAGCCCACAGGCCAGCAUCAGAAGUUUCGAGUCCUUUGUCUGGGACUCCAAGGACAGCUUGAAAGAGUUCUCAGAUGACUCUUUGUCUAAUCACAGUAUGCUAGGCAGCACCUCAAAACUGUCCAACAUUUCUACUAUAAUGAACUCUAGUAGGGCUCAGAGCAAAUGCUGGACACUGCUUCCCAUAGGCUGGAGGCUGUUGCUCGAAGCCAAGAAGAUCAGCAGGCACCUUAGCCUGGUGCUGACUGUGGCCGGCAUGGUGAUGCUCAGCCUCAUCGCCUUGUGGAAGCCCUGGAUCCACUUCCAAGUGCCUCUAGGACCCCCAGGCGACCCCGCUGGCCCCCAAACCAUCUCCAUUGAUACCAUCUUCUUCAUGCGGUGCCCUGACAUCUCCUGCAUGAAUGAAUACGAUAAGAAUGCAUAUUUGCUGGACAUGGCCUGGGCCUGCAUCCUCAUCUCCGGUGUCAUGAGUUUCUGUGUAUUCAUGGGUCUCAUCAGCACUAUCUUCUUCCCUAGCACUAACCUGCCCUUGAUGGACUUCUCUCUCUUCAUCUGCAGCCUCUUGACCGCCUCUUCACAAAUCUCAACACCCAACUUGGCCUCAAGUCUCAUUCCCCUCCAUGACUGUCUCAAGGCCAACCCGACCCUGGCCUUCUGAGAAGCUCAGCCUCAUCCUCAGUCCCAGUCCACCCUGAGUUUCACCUCCUUCUUGGCCCACACUCCAACCUACCAGCUGGGCACUUCCCUCUGAAACUCAUCCCAAGCAAUUCAACCAAAACCCAAGGACACCUUCCACCUAUUCUCAUCGCCAGCGCUUCCUGGACCCCAACCUCCAAACACAGCUCCAUGUGGACUUCUGUCCCAGUUUUCCUCAAGCUACUUCAUCUCUCCAAGUGGAACUUUUCAUUUUUCUGUUUUAAAAAACUGGGUCUCGUAUAGCUGAGGCUGACCUUGAUCUUCAUAUAUAUGCAGCCAACUGUGUCCAUAAACUUCUGCUCCUCCUGUGCUGAGAUAAUAGGCGUGUGCUUGUCAUGCCAUGUUUAUGUGGUACUGGGCAUGGAAUCCAGGGAUUUGUGCAUGCUAGGCAAGUACUCUACCAACUGAGCUGCAUCUUGGCCCCUUGGAGAUAAUAUUUUCUGCCGUGUGAAAAAUAUAGGGAGUGUUCAAUUAGAAAAUGUUAACUUGGUUACUUCUGUCACCACAUUGAGUGCCAUGGUUGGUUCAGCACUAAUCUGACUAGCUAGGCAAGCAUCCUCUUCCUCCUUCCCCCCUCUGGUGUGUGUCCCUCCUUACCCAGGAGAUAAGGUCAGUUCUUUGGUCAAGGUCAUAUAAAUAACUGAAAAUCCCCUGCUAAAACCUCUAGACAAGUUUCUUGGGUCCAUCCAAAGCACAUAGGGUAGUGAUAGGUCUAAGACUCUGGACAUAUGCAAACGAGAUACUCUAUGUGGUCUCCCUUCAAAGAAGUCAUGAAUGGUGGCACAGGUCUAACAUCCCAGCAUUCAGGAAGCUGAGGUUUGAAGAUAGCACUUCAUGCUAGUUUGAUAACUAACACUCACUGAGAUAAUCUCUCAGCCUCUCCCAAGCAAUUCAAAACUAACAUGCUGACUAGAACAUCUCAUGUCCACACACAUACCCAGAUUGGGAGAGGUUGAGGACAU
Molecule: long non-coding RNA, 2236 nt
Filed under: Mus spicilegus (steppe mouse)
Lineage: Eukaryota; Metazoa; Chordata; Mammalia; Rodentia; Muridae
Description: lncRNA (ENSMSIG00000019846.1)
Rfam family: 7SK RNA (bases 1748-2035)
Source: RNAcentral